CCCGAAAGAUCGAACGGGGAGAUUCAUCGUCGGCGGUGUCGGCUUCGCCGUGACUGCGAUGUUGCGUGUCCGUUCCGCGGACCACGCGGCACGCGGUCGCGUCGCGUAUGUCCGGCGACGUUGGCGUGCACUUCUCCCCUGGUAGGACGUCGCGACCCGUCGAGCGUCGGCAUAAGGCCCGAUCGGAUUAGCCUGCCUCGCGGCGUUCGCGUCGUGGGCAGACCGUCGGUCGCCCGGCCGGCUGCUCGUCGGUACACGCACGGUAUUCAGCCGCAUCGAACGUGCGCCCGGCCCGCCGCAAGCGCGGCCAGCGAUUCCCGGUGGUCGGACAUAGCGCCGUCCCCGGGCCUGGCCACCUGUUAGCGGUCGGUGUCCUCGGGCUGGCUUGAACGUUAAAUUGAAAAGAAUACCGGUCGGCGACGCUAUUGCUUUGGGUACUUUCA
Molecule: ribosomal RNA, 443 nt
Filed under: Decameria sp. SS-2014
Lineage: Eukaryota; Metazoa; Arthropoda; Insecta; Hymenoptera; Pergidae
Description: eukaryotic LSU rRNA
Source: RNAcentral